This 592-nucleotide ribosomal RNA is filed under the name uncultured bacterium. RNAcentral's name for it is "bacterial SSU rRNA". It matches the Rfam family "Bacterial small subunit ribosomal RNA", at positions 335 to 919 of the family's 1533-position model. The record is from RNAcentral.
AUUCCUACGGGAGGCAGCAGUAGGGAAUCUUCCGCAAUGGACGCAAGUCUGACGGAGCAACGCCGCGUGAGUGACGAAGGUUUUCGGAUCGUAAAACUCUGUUGUGAGGGAAGAACAAGUACCAACUAACUACUGGUACCUUGACGGUACCUCACCAGAAAGCCACGGCUAACUACGUGCCAGCAGCCGCGGUAAUACGUAGGUGGCAAGCGUUGUCCGGAAUUAUUGGGCGUAAAGCGCGCGCAGGCGGUCCCUUAAGUCUGAUGUGAAAGCCCACGGCUCAACCGUGGAGGGUCAUUGGAAACUGGGGGACUUGAGUGCAGAAGAGGAAAGUGGAAUUCCACGUGUAGCGGUGAAAUGCGUAGAGAUGUGGAGGAACACCAGUGGCGAAGGCGACUUUCUGGUCUGUAACUGACGCUGAGGCGCGAAAGCGUGGGGAGCAAACAGGAUUAGAUACCCUGGUAGUCCACGCCGUAAACGAUGAGUGCUAAGUGUUAGGGGGUUUCCGCCGUUUAGUGCUGCAGCUAACGCAUUAAGCACUCCGCCUGGGGAGUACGGCCGCAAGGCUGAAACUCAAAGGAAUUGACGGAAU